GGUUUGUUUACAAAAAAAAAGAGAAAUAAUUUGUGUUUCUUCAAGUCAUUCGUCCUCGCCUUGGUACUUUCAUCGUUCAAUCUCGCUUUGGAUCGUCCAAUAAUCGUGCUCAUGAAACAAGAAAAAAGAAAAGUUAGUGAUCAAACACAUGGAAAAAAUUCAAACAAGAAUUAUUUGAUUAAUGUCAUCAUAAGGGUUUGCGUUUGGAAUCAGUCAGGGAGUUAUUUUUCAUCAUGGUUUAUUUUCUCCCAAUUGCAAAUCACAAAAAGGAAAAAAGAAAAAAGAUUGCAAAUGUUUCCUGUUGCUAAAGUAAAAAACAGCAUCAGCCAAAACCAAAACAAACUGUCAAAACAAGCAUAG
Vicia faba (fava bean) is the source of this 360-nucleotide non-coding RNA. Lineage: Eukaryota; Viridiplantae; Streptophyta; Magnoliopsida; Fabales; Fabaceae. The record is from the annotation of a GenBank genome assembly.